UAAAAAGCCCAAGCUCAGGACUUGUAAUCCCA
This 32-nucleotide non-coding RNA is filed under the name Mus musculus (house mouse). The record is from RNAcentral. Lineage: Eukaryota; Metazoa; Chordata; Mammalia; Rodentia; Muridae.